AUUAGUCAAUGCUCGCAAGAGUGAACUAGCUAACUGAAAUCACAGGAUCCACUACGUGUGGUGAAUGUAAUAACGUAAGGGAAAAAAAUGAUAUUACCUUACUAUUAGUGUUGUCCAAAAUUGGUGCCAGAAGACUCGGUAAGGCCAAAAACGCAAACGUUAGUCGUCCUAAUCAGGCGUAAAGGGUAUGUAGGCUGCUUUAAAAUUUUUAUAUUUAUAGCUAAUGUAAAUUUUUUUAAAUUUCAAAUUUGAUAGUAGUGGGUUGGGUGCGUCAGCACUCCCUAACCUAUUAAAAUUUUACAGAAGUAUAAGAUGAAUUAAAGCUAGAAUCAAAUGGAGGAUAAGUCAAAUAAUACCUAGUGUAGGGUUUAAAUCUGUUGAUAUUAGGAAGAGUACUAAUGGUGAAAGCUUUUUAUCUAGAAAUGAUUGACGCUGAGAAACGAAGGUGAGAAUAGGAAAUAGGAUUAGAUACCCAGAUACCUCUCACAGUCAACGAUGAAUGGUAGUUGUUAGUUAGUUUUAUUUAACUGAUAACGAGGUUAACACGAUAACCAUUCCGCCUUGCGAGUACGGUUGCAAAACUGAAACCAAAAAAAUUAGUCGGUCUCGAAGCAAACGAAGUGAAGCAUGUUAUUUAAUUC
This 641-nucleotide ribosomal RNA is filed under the name Inocephalus sp. BC09-395. RNAcentral's name for it is "partial small subunit ribosomal RNA". It matches the Rfam family "Bacterial small subunit ribosomal RNA", at positions 363 to 952 of the family's 1533-position model. The record is from RNAcentral. Lineage: Eukaryota; Fungi; Basidiomycota; Agaricomycetes; Agaricales; Entolomataceae.